UACAGAGGUGGCAAGCGUUGUUCGGAAUUACUGGGCGUAAAGGGCGCGUAGGCGGUCUUUUAAGUCUUGUGUGAAAUCCCUCGGCUCAACUGAGGAACUGCACGGGAUACUGGAAGACUUGAGUUCGGGAGAGGGAAGCGGAAUUCCGGGUGUAGCGGUGAAAUGCGUAGAUAUCCGGAGGAACACCGGUGGCGAAGGCGGCUUCCUGGACCGAUUACUGACGAUGAGGCGCGAAAGCUAGGGGAGCAAACGGG
RNAcentral lists this ribosomal RNA (254 nucleotides) under uncultured bacterium. RNAcentral describes it as "partial 16S ribosomal RNA". It matches the Rfam family "Bacterial small subunit ribosomal RNA", at positions 524 to 776 of the family's 1533-position model. The record is from RNAcentral.